AUUGAACGCUGGCGGCAUGCUUUACACAUGCAAGUCGAACGGUAACAGGCCGCAAGGUGCUGACGAGUGGCGAACGGGUGAGUAAUGCAUCGGAACGUGCCCAGUCGUGGGGGAUAACUACUCGAAAGAGUAGCUAAUACCGCAUACGAUCUAUGGAUGAAAGCGGGGGACCGUAAGGCCUCGCGCGAUUGGAUCGGCCGAUGUCAGAUUAGGUAGUUGGUGGGGUAAAGGCUCACCAAGCCAACGAUCUGUAGCUGGUCUGAGAGGACAACCAGCCACACUGGGACUGAGACACGGCCCAGACUCCUACGGGAGGCAGCAGUGGGGAAUUUUGGACAAUGGGCGCAAGCCUGAUCCAGCAAUGCCGCGUGCAGGAAGAAGGCCUUCGGGUUGUAAACUGCUUUUGUACGGAACGAAACGGCUCUGGUUAAUACCCGGGGCUAAUGACGGUACCGUAAGAAUAAGCACCGGCUAACUACGUG
This 482-nucleotide ribosomal RNA is filed under the name uncultured bacterium. Its description in RNAcentral is "partial 16S ribosomal RNA". It matches the Rfam family "Bacterial small subunit ribosomal RNA", at positions 30 to 507 of the family's 1533-position model. The record is from RNAcentral.